RNAcentral lists this non-coding RNA (23 nucleotides) under Cricetulus griseus (Chinese hamster). Lineage: Eukaryota; Metazoa; Chordata; Mammalia; Rodentia; Cricetidae. The record is from RNAcentral.
UACUUGUAGACACCUAAUAAAUU